GCAUGCAGUGGGAAUCUUGGACAAUGGGGGAAACCCUGAUCCAGCCAUGCCGCGUGAGUGAAGAAGGCCCUAGGGUUGUAAAGCUCUUUCAGCGGGGAAGAUAAUGACGGUACCCNGC
This 118-nucleotide ribosomal RNA is filed under the name uncultured bacterium. RNAcentral describes it as "partial 16S ribosomal RNA". It matches the Rfam family "Bacterial small subunit ribosomal RNA", at positions 347 to 482 of the family's 1533-position model. The record is from RNAcentral.